Long non-coding RNA from Ostrea edulis (European flat oyster), 2437 nucleotides. RefSeq lists it as uncharacterized. The transcript has 4 exons. The record is from RefSeq and is a predicted model, not a curated record. Lineage: Eukaryota; Metazoa; Mollusca; Bivalvia; Ostreida; Ostreidae.
UUUGGUAUGUUCUAUAUUUACACCAUACCGCUAUGUUUAAAGCUGUGUUACAUCAUAUUUUAAAAGAACAUCACGCCACGCUUAGCGAGAUUGUUAUACAAAUACUCUGAUAUCAGUUCAUGCGAUUGUAUAUGCACUGGUCAGCUUAGAGACGACGACACGCUCCCUCUUUAGAAACCGAGGUUAAAAUACUUUAGUUUCGUUAUUGAAAAUUAAAAGACAAGGAUUGAUUUGGUGAGACACAAGAAUCGAAAUGAUGCUGCCGUUUGGAAGACGAUUCAACAUGAUAUAUAUACUUCUCUUGCUUUUAAUCAUGCUGCCAGCUGGAUCAUUUUCCCCAAUAUUUUCAUGUAUUGAAAACAAUUCAAAUUCUAAAGUAGUUGUUGGUAUGUUAGAACAGUUUUGUAAUCAAGUUAGAAACAUAAAAAUGAGAGUUUGUUUUGGGGAUUUACGACGGAAGAAUAAAAGAAAUAAAGAUAAAUGUCUGCGAAAGGCGAAUGAGCAAAAAAGAAAGUGCUGUAAGAGAAUGUCAUUAAGAAAAUGAUGUUUGAUUGCAUUCAAUUAUUUCAUAUCAUAUUUAUUUACGAUCUAGUUCGUCAAUACAACCUAUCAUUGGGUCAAAUGCUGUCUGACAUGUUUCAUACCAAUUGUUAGACCGUUCUUGGCACACUGAUUUUGACUACGGAUAACUCUGUUUACCUGAUUAGGAUAUAGGGCUCACAGCGGGUGUGACCGGUCGACAGGGGAUGCUUACUCCUCCUAGACACCUGAUCUCACCUCUGGUGUGUCCAGGGGUCCGUGUUUGCCCAACUAUCUACUUUGUAUUGCUGAUAGGAGUUAUGAGAUUGAUCACUGUUCGUUAUCUUCACCUUUCAUUUAUUGGUUUUAAUUGUAAGAGAGAUUGUACCCUUUUUAGUGGAGAUUUCAAAUGAAUGUAGUCUAAUAUGUUUCAUUGAAUCAUUAUUCCUCGUUCGAAACAUGGCAAAAUGGUUCACUUGUGCAGCAUUGAGAAGAUCCAGAGAAACAAUGGUGAUAUGAAGAAAGUGAUGAAAGAAAGCAUAUAUAUAUAUAUAUAUAUAUAUAUAUAUAUAUAUAUAUAUAGCAACAAUAUGAGAGUAUCAUGGAACAGUACACCCUGUAAGAAUAACAACAAGCUAUGGCAAUUGGAAGAAGACGCUUUCAGCGAGAGCGAAAUAAUCUACAAACGCCUUUGAGAUUUUCAUGUCUGACAUCUUCCAGGGAUAAGAAUAAAACGAAGUUAAAGAAAUUAGAAGAAGAUGCGUGAAUGCUCAAGGAGGCAACAAUGAAAGAAUAGAAUGUGCAUCCAAAUCCCUUUCAAAGAAAAUAAGGUGCAUCAAUCUGAUGGCGUGGUGCAGUUAUAACGUAAAUUGCAAAGAGGUGGUUUUUCGGGAACCUUUACUACAACUCUCUCCAAAGACUUGGUUUAGUGGUAUUGACGGCUUCGUUAGCGAUCAGUAACCCUCAUCGACACUUGAAUAUUUGUAUCGCUAUUGUGAGGUGAAGUGACUGAUGUCAACAGUUCAUUACCUUGGAAACCUAGGUAUAUACCACUAUGAUGUGAUCAUUGAUAAGGAUAUCCCGAAGAACUCAAGGAAACUUAUGCCACUUGAAGGGAAGUUUUCAAACUUUGUGUGAUGGACCCCAUCGAAAACGAAGCUCAACACAGAUGUCGUUUGAUCUUAAUCCUUAUUAAACGAAAGAUUUUGACAUAGCAAUAAAGACUAUUAUAUUAUGACAAAUAUGGCAUAUCGCUGACAGAAUACCAAUCACCGCCACUUGUUGAUGUUUAGCGAUGUAUGCAAUUCAUAUACAAGCUAUGUUAUAUUUUUUCACAAUAAAAGUUACCAAAAGUUGUAGUUGUAUCAAAUCAGAUAUGAGACCAAAGGUGUGGUCCUGUGCAAAACAAAAAUAUCCUUUUCGUGGAUUUGACAGCCUGGUGUAAGUAACAGUUAUGUCCAUCCUUAUCGUAACUACAACCGGCAUCAUUUCUGUAUAAAUAUUCAUUUUGUUUGUUUAUUUUACGUCCUGUCGAGAAUAUAUUUAUUUUGUGCGUUUGUGUGUGUUUAUAUUACCUGCAAGGUGCAAAUCAAAAGAGAAUGUUUUUUGUUCCUUUCUAAAAAUAAUUUAUUGUAUUUGUAAAGUUUUCAAAAAGGUAUUGAGAGAGAGAGAGAGAGAUGUGUAAACAAACUUUUCCAGAACUCCCAGUUAUUACAAAAAUCCACUUGUUUGUUAUUUUCAUAUAUAAUAUAUUUACUUGUUUUAUACAUAAUCUUGAUAGAAGACAUCAAUCCAGUCAAAAAGAGACUCAUGCCUGCACAGUGAUCACUAUUAUGAAAAAAUUUGUUUGAAGAGCAAUGAUAUUUUUACUAUACGAUGUAUCCACAGAUUGUGAAAUAAAUCUUUUUUGAACAAGUAA